This 498-nucleotide ribosomal RNA is filed under the name uncultured Lachnospiraceae bacterium. Its description in RNAcentral is "partial 16S ribosomal RNA". Lineage: Bacteria; Bacillati; Bacillota; Clostridia; Lachnospirales; Lachnospiraceae. The record is from RNAcentral.
CACGUAGUUAGCCGGGACUUCUUAGUCAGGUACCGCCUUUUUCUUCCCUGCUGAUAGAAGUUUACAUACCGAAAUACUUCUUCCUUCACGCGGCGUCGCUGCAUCAGGGUUUCCCCCAUUGUGCAAUAUUCCCCACUGCUGCCUCCCGUAGGAGUCUGGACCGUGUCUCAGUUCCAAUGUGGCCGUUCACCCUCUCAGGCCGGCUACUGAUCGCUGACUUGGUAGGCCUCUACCCCACCAACUAUCUAAUCAGACGCGGGCCCAUCCUGUACCGUCUCGGCUUUUCACACUGUAACAUGCGUUACUGUGCGCUUAUGGGGUAUUAGCAGCUGUUUCCGGCUGUUGUCCCCCUGUACAGGGCAGGUUGCCCACGUGUUACUCACCCGUCCGCCACUAAGUCACUUACUCUUCCUCCGAGAUUUAGUGUAAGCGCUUCGUUCAACUUGCAUGUGUUAGGCACGCCGCCAGCGUUCAUCCUGAGCCAGGGAUACGAAAACU